Molecule: ribosomal RNA, 807 nt
Filed under: Triticum aestivum (bread wheat)
Lineage: Eukaryota; Viridiplantae; Streptophyta; Magnoliopsida; Poales; Poaceae
Description: partial small subunit ribosomal RNA
Source: RNAcentral
AUGGUGCCACGAAGGAAGUUCUUUGCCGCCGAGAAGGGGAAGGCCCCUCGCGAGGGCCCCGGUUCCACGGCGCCCAAGCGCGGUCACGGCCGUCCGUGCAAGCACGCCGCGACCCCCGCCAUGGCCCACCGUCGAGGCGGCGCCGCGGCACGCGGAGGGGAUCGUCCCAACCAUGGCGGUCCAGCUGACGAGGGGAGGCGCGCAAUGGUGGCGCGGCCUCCCCGCCCGCGCUUCCAUUCAGCGGAGGUGUCGCCGGAGUUCGUCGUCUGGCCGGAGAACCCAGCCGGCAACUGGCUCCAGCUUCCGUGCUCCUUUGUCGGUGAACUGCCGGCCCCUGGUGCAGGCAGGCUCUGGUUGCAAGCGGAUGGUUGCUGCAGCAAGGCCUCUUGGGUCGUGGUCGAAACUUCCGCCGCAGGCAACAUAGCCCUGGCACACGGCUGGCAGACGUUCGCCCGCGCGCGCGGCCUGGGCAAGCGGUGCACGCUCCACUUCAAGUAUGACGGUGGAUCGACCCUCUAUGUGAGGGCGUUUGGGGAAGAUGGUCACUGUGCCGGGUGCUGCCCCGAGACGAACAACUGCGAGGAGGUGCUCGGCCUUGGUGACGGUCGCAACGAGGAUGAGGGCGAGCAUGCCCUUGACGGCGACAGUGUCCCUUCCAGCUACAGCGGUUCUUCCUCUGGCGACAGCUCCAACAGCGGUGGCUAUGACCAGCCACCGCGCUCGCUUCGAAGGAGGCAGCGGGUCAUCUCGCCGCCGCGCCUCCGUGAAGCGCGAGGAGGGGUCUGGCUAGGCUUGGGGCGUUGCUAA